CUACGGGUGGCACCAGUGGGGAAUAUUGCACAAUGGGCGCAAGCCUGAUGCAGCCAUGCCGCGUGUAUGAAGAAGGCCUUCGGGUUGUAAAGUACUUUCAGCGGGGAGGAAGGGAGUAAAGUUAAUACCUUUGCUCAUUGACGUUACCCGCAGAAGAAGCACCGGCUAAGUCCGUGCCAGCAGCCGCGGUAAUACGGAGGGUGCAAGCGUUAAUCGGAAUUACUGGGCGUAAAGCGCACGCAGGCGGUUUGUUAAGUCAGAUGUGAAAUCCCCGGGCUCAACCUGGGAACUGCAUCUGAUACUGGCAAGCUUGAGUCUCGUAGAGGGGGGUAGAAUUCCAGGUGUAGCGGUGAAAUGCGUAGAGAUCUGGAGGAAUACCGGUGGCGAAGGCGGCCCCCUGGACGAAGACUGACGCUCAGGUGCGAAAGCGUGGGGAGCAAACAGGAUUAGAUACCCCCGUAGUC
Molecule: ribosomal RNA, 464 nt
Filed under: uncultured bacterium
Lineage: Bacteria
Description: partial 16S ribosomal RNA
Rfam family: Bacterial small subunit ribosomal RNA
Source: RNAcentral